This 546-nucleotide long non-coding RNA is filed under the name Athene cunicularia (burrowing owl). Its description in RNAcentral is "lncRNA (ENSACUG00000007895.1)". The record is from RNAcentral. Lineage: Eukaryota; Metazoa; Chordata; Aves; Strigiformes; Strigidae.
GAGAGACGUACACACACAGACACACACACACACGCAUCCCACAGCCAGGGAAGAGGCAGAGAGCAGGCAAGGCAGAGAGGGAGCGAGGGUAGAGAGAGAGAGAUCCCCAAAGCAGCCCUGCGCCUCUGAGCUGGAAUCUGCCAGGGUGCAGCCAACAUGUUGGUCCUCAGCUCACUUGUCUGGGGAUCUUACCUGCAGCUUUUCUUCUGCUUUGCUUUAUCUCAGACUGCGUACGUUGACAAUAUCUUCUCAGUUUCAGCAGAUCUCCCUUGUUUGGAACAGAAGAAACAGUUCAACCGCAGAGCAUGCUGCCUCCUUGGCCCUCCUCCACCACCCCUGUUUCCACCACCAUACUUCAGGCAUGGCUGGAGCACUAAGCUGCUUGCCCUGGAUAUGAAAGAGUUGUGUCAGGAGCUCCAGAUAAUACAGGCUUCCUCUCUACCUGAAUUGCAUUGCCCUGCAGGGCCUCCUGGCCCCCAGGUGAGUGAUGCAUUUGUAAUUAAACCACAUCGUCCUCUCACUUGCUCCAAGGUCCUUACAAAGCUG